This 79-nucleotide transfer RNA is filed under the name Vibrio parahaemolyticus. RNAcentral describes it as "tRNA-Arg". The stretch from base 3 to 72 matches the Rfam family "tRNA". From Rfam's summary of the family: Transfer RNA (tRNA) molecules are approximately 80 nucleotides in length. Their secondary structure includes four short double-helical elements and three loops (D, anti-codon, and T loops). The record is from RNAcentral. Lineage: Bacteria; Pseudomonadati; Pseudomonadota; Gammaproteobacteria; Vibrionales; Vibrionaceae.
GCGUCCUUAGCUCAGCUGGAUAGAGUACCUGGCUACGAACCAGGCGGUUCGGGGGUUCGAAUCCUCCAGGACCGCCCCC